GAAACUCAGGGCUAUGCUAAGUGAGUAGCCUGGACAACUGACUUCUCCAGGUUCCAAAAGGCCUCGGCCAGCAAUACCUAGUCAGCUCAAGGUGGACACCGGGCCCUUGGUGAGGUAAGAAAGCAGUUCAUAUUGUCAGGGAGGAGGACAGCAGGAGUCCUGGGGUCCUCUCCCCCCCCAGCCAAUGAGUGAUUCACCGCCCUGCUCCACCGUCAGCCAGACUGUUUCUGCACAUUGGUUACCAACUCUUCAAUGUCCUGUCUCUCCUUUCCAAACUUGCUGCUGAUCCCUGAUUCCAAGUCCCAGCACUUUAUUAGCAUCUAUUGUAAGGGGCUUCACUGGGCUCUCCUUGCCUCCUGGAAACCACCUUCACGCUGACUGAUCAAGCAAAGCUCCGAAGCCUUUCAGGGCUUGGACUUCCAUAUGCAGUAAAGCUCCCAGCCCUGACCUUACCCAUCAGAUUCCUUCCUCCACUUCCCCAUGUUUUUGUUCAGAAAUUACUCCAGGCACACCAUCCUACUCUUAUUAAACACAGUUUUUUUCUCUCUC
Molecule: long non-coding RNA, 549 nt
Organism: Myotis davidii
Lineage: Eukaryota; Metazoa; Chordata; Mammalia; Chiroptera; Vespertilionidae
Exons: 2
Source: RefSeq, a predicted model, not a curated record